This 405-nucleotide long non-coding RNA is filed under the name Lynx pardinus (Iberian lynx). The record is from RNAcentral. Lineage: Eukaryota; Metazoa; Chordata; Mammalia; Carnivora; Felidae.
GGGGGAGGGGAGCGAGGCAGGUGGCGGGGCGGCGGGGAAGAACGGGAGGAGAGCCUGGAGAAGGAGGGGACAGUUUACAAAAAUGCACUACCCGAGUGGGACUGUGGCCCAGGAAAAUCCCACUCGUGAACGAGCUACCAAAUCGGCCUCCAGUGCACCCAGGAGAGCCUAGAGAAAGGGCGAACUGUGACAGGGACUCGUGCACCCGAUUAAUUGAAUAUUAAUCACCUCAGGGGCCUAGGCCAACUGCCACCCAGAGAGUGGCAACAGCAGAACCCAAAGCUGCCGUGCCAGGCUGGGGGUGGGGAAGAGAGACCACCUGGCCACACCUCCCGCCCAGGUGACAGUUUAACUGCCUCUGCAUCCCACUUCAGACCUCCCCAUGCGAUCUGGCAGCAACUCGGA